Nicotiana attenuata is the source of this 966-nucleotide long non-coding RNA. RefSeq lists it as uncharacterized. Lineage: Eukaryota; Viridiplantae; Streptophyta; Magnoliopsida; Solanales; Solanaceae. The transcript has 2 exons. The record is from RefSeq and is a predicted model, not a curated record.
UAACGAAAUCUUAUUUUGCCAUGAAGUAGUAGAAGAUGAGAUAUGGGGAGAAAUAGAGGGUGACGGCAGGAAGGGAGAUAGGAGAGAAAGAAGGAAAAAAUAUAAUUAAAUUGAAGCCUUUUAAGGUGGAUUGUAUAUAUUUAAUAAAUAAAAUUUAUUUAUGCCGGGUAUCUCAAAUCCCGACUGACCCGCAAGAAAAAACCUGUCAAGGAAGGACACACAAUAAUCCUGAAUCGAAUUGCUAAUUAUGUGUCAACCUUCCCGAUGCAUUUUCUGCAACAAUUCGUCACAUGCUGCCUCUCCCUUCUCGGGGUGCUAAAACACCCAUUCUUAUCCAUCUACUAUCUUCUUUCUAUAAAUAGCAAAUAUAGAAUUUAGAAGGAAAUUAAGCAUAUAUAUCUAGUGUAGAUAGAGAAACAGAGAGAAUGUUGAUGGGGAUAAGCUUGCAAUGCAUGAUGGACUUGGUCGUUGCUGGUUUUUCCCUUAUGAUUGGAUUAGGGAUUUUCGCUUUCAUUGCUUCAAUUCUCUGUUCUGCUGCUUUUUACCAGAAUGCUAAGCAACUUUCUUGAAUCUACACUCCCUUAUGGAUUUAUUAGGGUAGAUAUCGACACUACAGAGGUUAUUUAAAGCCAAAAACAAAAACAAAAAAAGAUGGCAGACAAAAAUUCAAGAAAUAAAAGGGGUUUCUCCACUGUCCUUUUUACUUAAUCAGGCACUAUUGUUGUUUGUAUGCCAGGAGCUGCUGGAGAGAUGAACUAACUGAUUAGCAGUAAUAGUUAUGCUGUUUGUAAUAGAUAGAGAGAAGUAUUUCCUCGUAGAAAAAAGGCAUUUGUAUGCAAUAGUAGAAUGAAUAUGCAGUUUUGAGACGGCGGGUAUUGUCUAUUUUUUUUUAUAUUUUCUUGUGUUCUAGAAUGUUGUGUCUUACUAUCUCGCUUUUCAAUGCAGGGCCUUUUUAUUAGCUUUGCA